UUCAGACCUCGACGGUUGUAACUGAUGGACUGGGCUGGGCACUGCUGACGAACCUCACAUUCCUGAGAGAAAAAUCACCCAAACAUCUUCUCCAGCUUUCUAGAAGUCAUUAUGAGGGGACCUGACUGAGGAGACUUAUACAGAAACCCCGGUCCGCAUCACAGCUGUGUUCCUCCAAGAUGGCCACCUCUGAGGAGGAUUAUCAUGGGCCUCAGAGAAGAAAGGGAACCAAAAGGCCAUCAACCACAAAGUGAAAAUAGAUGUUGAAAGCAAGUCUAAAGGUUUGGAAAACUUACGACUACAUUCUCCUGUGAUUACCCAGCCUGAAGGCUGUGUCCUUAUGAGGUCGAGGGCUCCAGAGGUACAUGUGGCCUGUCACCUGGAUCACCUGGUGAAUGUUGUUGGACAGGCCCUGACUCAUUUCAGGGGGCCACCCCAUGAACAGAAGGCACGUAGGAGACGGGCUGAGUAAAGUGUGUAUCUGCCAGUGUGUGGAGCCGAGAGCCACAAGCUUCCAGCUUGGCCGCUGGCCAGGGGGGAUCCGUUGUUGUUAAAAUGUUAACAUUUCAGUGGUGAAUACAAAAGAAAAAUUAGUGCAGAUCAAGUAACAUGGAAGAGAAGAAAGAGCACUCGAUACAGAAGAAGACAACAGGAGGAGAAAGCUCAGACAUUGGCAAAAACCACAUUACCCAAUGGCCAAAGAAAGCCCUGCAGAGGUAGUCCUCUCAGGGCCCUCCGACGGCGGGCUGCAUGGGGAUGCUCCAGCUCCUAAUGGAGGACCGGCCCCCCACCCCAAAACUGGGUUUAACGAACUGUGGAUGGAAACCUUCUCCUGCCCACCGACACAGUGCUGCAUGGAGCCUGCUCACAGAGUACCACCAUCAGAAGAGGGAGUUCAGAUCCUCCUGGGGAGCCCCCCGCCGGGGGAAAGUGGGGCGGAUCUAGUGAGAUGCUCCCCAUCGCCCCUGC
Long non-coding RNA from Ailuropoda melanoleuca (giant panda), 969 nucleotides. RefSeq lists it as uncharacterized. The transcript is spliced from 6 exons. NCBI's taxonomy places the organism in Eukaryota, Metazoa, Chordata, Mammalia, Carnivora, Ursidae. The record is from RefSeq and is a predicted model, not a curated record.